This 258-nucleotide ribosomal RNA is filed under the name uncultured bacterium. RNAcentral's name for it is "partial small subunit ribosomal RNA". It matches the Rfam family "Bacterial small subunit ribosomal RNA", at positions 26 to 288 of the family's 1533-position model. The record is from RNAcentral.
AGGACGAACGCUGGCGGCGUGCUUAACACAUGCAAGUCGAGCGGAAAGGCCCUUCGGGGUACUCGAGCGGCGAACGGGUGAGUAACACGUGAGCAACCUGCCCCUGGCUCUGGGAUAGCCUCCGGAAACGGGGAUUAAUACCGGACAUGACCCUUGACCGCAUGGUUGGGGGUGGAAAGUUUUUCGGCCAGGGUGGGGCUCGCGGCCUAUCAGCUUGGUUGGGGGGUGACGGCCCACCGAAGGCGACGACGGGUAGCC